AUGCGUCAAGUACAGGAGCUGCUCGACAAAGGUUAUAUACGCGAAUCUCUUAGUCCUUGUGCUGUUCCUAUUAUACUCGUGCCUAAAAAGGAUGGUACGUCGCGUAUGUGUGUUGAUUGUAGAGGCAUUAAUAAUAUUACUAUUCGUUAUCGUCAUCCUAUUCCUAGGCUCGAUGAUAUGCUUGAUGAAUUGAGUGGCUCUACAAUAUUCUCCAAAGUUGAUUUGCGUAGUGGAUACCAUCAAAUUCGUAUGAAAUUGGGAGAUGAAUGGAAAACUGCAUUUAAAACUAAGUUUGGUUUAUAUGAGUGGUUAGUCAUGCCUUUUGGGUUAACUAAUGCACCUAGUACUUUCAUGAGACUAAUGAACGAAGUUUUACGUGCUUUCAUUGGACGAUUUGUGGUGGUCUAUUUUGAUGAUAUACUGAUUUAUAGCAAAUCUUUGGAAGAACAUUUGGAACAUUUACGUGCUGUUUUUAUUGCUCUACGUGAUGCACGUUUGUUUGGUAACCUUGGGAAGUGCACCUUUUGCACCGACCGAGUAUCUUUUCUUGGCUAUGUUGUUACUCCACAGGGAAUUGAAGUUGAUACAGCCAAAAUUGAAGCUAUUGAGAGUUGGCCGCAGCCCAAAACGGUCACACAAGUGCGGAGUUUUCUUGGACUCGCUGGUUUCUAUAGGCGUUUUGUGAGAGAUUUUAGCACCAUUGCUGCACCUCUCAACGAGCUUACAAAGAAGGAUGUGCCUUUUGUUUGGGGUACCGCACAGGAAGAAGCCUUCACGGUAUUGAAAGAUAAGUUGACACAUGCUCCUUUACUCCAACUUCCUGAUUUUAAUAAGACUUUUGAGCUUGAAUGUGAUGCUAGUGGCAUUGGAUUAGGAGGUGUGUUAUUACAAGAUGGCAAACCUGUUGCAUACUUUUCUGAAAAAUUGAGUGGGCCUAGUCUGAAUUAUUCUACUUAUGAUAAAGAACUAUAUGCUCUUGUUCGGACUUUAGAAACAUGGCAACAUUAUUUAUGGCCCAAAGAAUUUGUUAUACAUUCUGAUCAUGAAUCUUUGAAACAUAUUAAAAGUCAAGCUAAACUGAAUCGUAGACACGCUAAAUGGGUUGAAUUCAUUGAAACUUUCCCUUAUGUCAUUAAACACAAGAAGGGUAAAGAAAAUGUUAUUGCUGAUGCAUUGUCUCGUCGCUAUACUAUGCUUUCACAACUUGACUUCAAAAUAUUUGGUUUGGAGACCAUCAAAGAUCAAUAUGUGCAUGAUGCUGAUUUUAAAGAUGUAUUGCAAAAUUGUAAAGAAGGAAGAACCUGGAACAAGUUUGUCGUUAAUGAUGGAUUUGUGUUCCGUGCUAACAAGCUAUGCAUUCCAGCUAGCUCUCUUCGUCUUUUGUUGUUGCAGGAGGCGCAUGGCGGAGGAUUAAUGGGACACUUUGGCGUGAAGAAGACGGAGGACGUACUUGCUACACAUUUCUUUUGGCCAAAGAUGAGACGGGAUGUUGAGCGUUUUGUUGCUCGCUGCACUACAUGUCAAAAAGCUAAGUCACGACUCAAUCCUCAUGGUUUAUAUAUGCCUUUGCCUGUACCUAGUGUUCCUUGGGAGGAUAUAUCUAUGGACUUUGUUUUAGGUUUACCUCGAACAAAGAAGGGGAGGGAUAGCAUAUUUGUUGUCGUGGAUAGAUUCUCGAAAAUGGCGCACUUUAUACCAUGUCAUAAAAGCGAUGAUGCUGUUAAUGUUGCUGAUUUGUUCUUUCGUGAAAUUAUUCGCUUGCAUGGUGUGCCAAAUACUAUUGUUUCAGAUCGUGAUACUAAAUUUCUUAGCCACUUUUGGAGAUGUUUAUGGGCUAAGUUGGGGACUAAACUGCUUUUUAGUACUACUUGUCACCCCCAAACAGAUGGACAAACUGAAGUAGUCAAUAGAACAUUGUCUACUAUGCUUAGGGCUGUUUUGAAGAAUAAUAAGAAAAUGUGGGAAGACUGCUUGCCUCAUAUUGAGUUUGCUUAUAAUCGUUCAUUGCAUUCUACUACUAAGAUGUGCCCUUUUGAAAUUGUGUAUGGUUUCCUACCUCGUGCACCUAUUGAUUUGUUGCCUCUUCCAUCUUCGGAGAAGGUUAAUUUUGAUGCUAAACAACGUGCUGAAUUGAUCUUAAAAAUGCAUGAGUUAACUAAGGAAAACAUUGAGCGUAUGAAUGCUAAAUAUAAACUUGCUGGAGAUAAGGGUAGAAAACAUGUUGUGUUUGCACCUGGAGAUCUUGUUUGGUUACAUUUGCGUAAGGAUAGAUUUCCUGAUUUGCGCAAAUCAAAGCUAAUGCCACGUGCUGAUGGUCCUUUUAAGGUGUUAGAGAAAAUAAAUGAUAAUGCAUAUAAACUUGAGCUGCCUGCAGAUUUUGGGGUUAGUCCCACUUUUAAUAUUGCAGAUUUGAAGCCUUAUUUGGGUGAGGAAGAU
Molecule: ribosomal RNA, 2436 nt
Filed under: Triticum aestivum (bread wheat)
Lineage: Eukaryota; Viridiplantae; Streptophyta; Magnoliopsida; Poales; Poaceae
Description: partial small subunit ribosomal RNA
Source: RNAcentral